UGUUGUCGAUCCAUCUGUAGGUGGGUUUU
RNAcentral lists this ribosomal RNA (29 nucleotides) under Mycobacterium nonchromogenicum. RNAcentral's name for it is "Mycolicibacter nonchromogenicus partial 23S ribosomal RNA". The record is from RNAcentral. Lineage: Bacteria; Bacillati; Actinomycetota; Actinomycetes; Mycobacteriales; Mycobacteriaceae.